This 28-nucleotide non-coding RNA is filed under the name Rattus norvegicus (Norway rat). Lineage: Eukaryota; Metazoa; Chordata; Mammalia; Rodentia; Muridae. The record is from RNAcentral.
UCAAGCCAUUGAAUCUGAGGCAUCUGUU